UUGUCUCUCUUGAGUGGAUCCUGAGUACGACGGAGCACGUGAAAUUCCGUCGGAAUCUGGGAGGACCAUCUCCUAAGGCUAAAUACUCUCUAGUGACCGAUAGUGAACCAGUACCGUGAGGGAAAGGUGAAAAGCACCCCGGAAGGGGAGUGAAAUAGAACCUGAAACCGUGUGCUUACAAGUAGUCAGAGCCCGUUAAUGGGUGAUGGCGUGCCUUUUGUAGAAUGAACCGGCGAGUUACGAUUUGAUGCAAGGUUAAGCAGUAAAUGUGGAGCCGUAGCGAAAGCGAGUCUGAAUAGGGCGUUUAGUAUUUGGUCGUAGACCCGAAACCAGGUGAUCUACCCUUGGUCAGGUUGAAGUUCAGGUAACACUGAAUGGAGGACCGAACCGACUUACGUUGAAAAGUGAGCGGAUGAACUGAGGGUAGCGGAGAAAUUCCAAUCGAACCUGGAGAUAGCUGGUUCUCUCCGAAAUAGCUUUAGGGCUAGCCUCAAGUGAUGAUUAUUGGAGGUAGAGCACUGUUUGGACGAGGGGCCCCUCUCGGGUUACCGAAUUCAGACAAACUCCGAAUGCCAAUUAAUUUAACUUGGGAGUCAGAACAUGGGUGAUAAGGUCCGUGUUCGAAAGGGAAACAGCCCAGACCACCAGCUAAGGUCCCAAAAUAUAUGUUAAGUGGAAAAGGAUGUGGCGUUGCCCAGACAACUAGGAUGUUGGCUUAGAAGCAGCCAUCAUUUAAAGAGUGCGUAAUAGCUCACUAGUCGAGUGACACUGCGCCGAAAAUGUACCGGGGCUAAACAUGUUACCGAAGCUGUGGAUUGUCCUUUGGACAAUGGUAGGAGAGCGUUCUAAGGGCGUUGAAGCAUGAUCGUAAGGACAUGUGGAGCGCUUAGAAGUGAGAAUGCCGGUGUGAGUAGCGAAAGACGGGUGAGAAUCCCGUCCACCGAUUGACUAAGGUUUCCAGAGGAAGGCUCGUCCGCUCUGGGUUAGUCGGGUCCUAAGCUGAGGCCGACAGGCGUAGGCGAUGGAUAACAGGUUGAUAUUCCUGUACCACCUAUAAUCGUUUUAAUCGAUGGGGGGACGCAGUAGGAUAGGCGAAGCGUGCGAUUGGAUUGCACGUCUAAGCAGUAAGGCUGGGUAUUAGGCAAAUCCGGUACUCGUUAAGGCUGAGCUGUGAUGGGGAGAAGACAUUGUGUCUUCGAGUCGUUGAUUUCACACUGCCGAGAAAAGCCUCUAGAUAGAAAAUAGGUGCCCGUACCGCAAACCGACACAGGUAGUCAAGAUGAGAAUUCUAAGGUGAGCGAGCGAACUCUCGUUAAGGAACUCGGCAAAAUGACCCCGUAACUUCGGGAGAAGGGGUGCUCUUUAGGGUUAACGCCCAGAAGAGCCGCAGUGAAUAGGCCCAAGCGACUGUUUAUCAAAAACACAGGUCUCUGCUAAACCGUAAGGUGAUGUAUAGGGGCUGACGCCUGCCCGGUGCUGGAAGGUUAAGAGGAGUGGUUAGCUUCUGCGAAGCUACGAAUCGAAGCCCCAGUAAACGGCGGCCGUAACUAUAACGGUCCUAAGGUAGCGAAAUUCCUUGUCGGGUAAGUUCCGACCCGCACGAAAGGCGUAACGAUUUGGGCACUGUCUCAACGAGAGACUCGGUGAAAUCAUAGUACCUGUGAAGAUGCAGGUUACCCGCGACAGGACGGAAAGACCCCGUGGAGCUUUACUGUAGCCUGAUAUUGAAAUUCGGCACAGCUUGUACAGGAUAGGUAGGAGCCUUUGAAACGUGAGCGCUAGCUUACGUGGAGGCGCUGGUGGGAUACUACCCUAGCUGUGUUGGCUUUCUAACCCGCACCACUUAUCGUGGUGGGAGACAGUGUCAGGCGGGCAGUUUGACUGGGGCGGUCGCCUCCUAAAAGGUAACGGAGGCGCUCAAAGGUUCCCUCAGAAUGGUUGGAAAUCAUUCAUAGAGUGUAAAGGCAUAAGGGAGCUUGACUGCGAGACCUACAAGUCGAGCAGGGUCGAAAGACGGACUUAGUGAUCCGGUGGUUCCGCAUGGAAGGGCCAUCGCUCAACGGAUAAAAGCUACCCCGGGGAUAACAGGCUUAUCUCCCCCAAGAGUUCACAUCGACGGGGAGGUUUGGCACCUCGAUGUCGGCUCAUCGCAUCCUGGGGCUGUAGUCGGUCCCAAGGGUUGGGCUGUUCGCCCAUUAAAGCGGUACGCGAGCUGGGUUCAGAACGUCGUGAGACAGUUCGGUCCCUAUCCGUCGUGGGCGUAGGAAAUUUGAGAGGAGCUGUCCUUAGUACGAGAGGACCGGGAUGGACAUACCUCUGGUGUACCAGUUGUCGUGCCAACGGCAUAGCUGGGUAGCUAUGUGUGGACGGGAUAAGUGCUGAAAGCAUCUAAGCAUGAAGCCCCCCUCAAGAUGAGAUUUCCCAACUUCGGUUAUAAGAUCCCUCAAAGAUGAUGAGGUUAAUAGGUUCGAGGUGGAAGCAUGGUGACAUGUGGAGCUGACGAAUACUAAUCGAUCGAAGACUUAAUCAA
RNAcentral lists this ribosomal RNA (2530 nucleotides) under Staphylococcus aureus. Its description in RNAcentral is "partial 23S ribosomal RNA". It matches the Rfam family "Bacterial large subunit ribosomal RNA", at positions 388 to 2925 of the family's 2925-position model. Lineage: Bacteria; Bacillati; Bacillota; Bacilli; Caryophanales; Staphylococcaceae. The record is from RNAcentral.